Molecule: ribosomal RNA, 516 nt
Filed under: Porphyrobacter sp. Sand_R2A_F1
Lineage: Bacteria; Pseudomonadati; Pseudomonadota; Alphaproteobacteria; Sphingomonadales; Erythrobacteraceae
Description: bacterial SSU rRNA
Rfam family: Bacterial small subunit ribosomal RNA
Source: RNAcentral
CGAGACCUUCGGGUCUAGUGGCGCACGGGUGCGUAACGCGUGGGAACCUGCCUUUAGGUUCGGAAUAACUCAGAGAAAUUUGAGCUAAUACCGGAUAAUGUCUUCGGACCAAAGAUUUAUCGCCUUUAGAUGGGCCCGCGUUGGAUUAGCUAGUUGGUGGGGUAAAGGCCUACCAAGGCGACGAUCCAUAGCUGGUCUGAGAGGAUGAUCAGCCACACUGGGACUGAGACACGGCCCAGACUCCUACGGGAGGCAGCAGUGGGGAAUAUUGGACAAUGGGCGAAAGCCUGAUCCAGCAAUGCCGCGUGAGUGAUGAAGGCCUUAGGGUUGUAAAGCUCUUUUACCCGAGAUGAUAAUGACAGUAUCGGGAGAAUAAGCUCCGGCUAACUCCGUGCCAGCAGCCGCGGUAAUACGGAGGGAGCUAGCGUUGUUCGGAAUUACUGGGCGUAAAGCGCACGUAGGCGGCUUUUUAAGUCAGGGGUGAAAUCCCGGGGCUCAACCCCGGAACUGCCCUUG